Molecule: long non-coding RNA, 389 nt
Organism: Neopsephotus bourkii (Bourke's parrot)
Lineage: Eukaryota; Metazoa; Chordata; Aves; Psittaciformes; Psittacidae
Exons: 3
Source: RefSeq, a predicted model, not a curated record
ACAGAAACCAGGGAGUACCUUCAGUGGUGGGACUCCAGUGAAGUUUGGACAGGGCAACUCUGGAGGCCCACUUUUGUGUCUGAGAACUGGUGGCACCUGGAUUCUGCCUUGGCAGGGCUGGUUGUGCCAGAGGGCGGGAUGCCCUCAGGAGAAGCAGCAUGGCUCAGGGCUCAACAGGCAUCUUCAGGACAUCUCCAGGCUGUGUUUGUAACUUCAUUGUCCAGCACAUGACAGUAAGUUUUGGCUGUGGAAGUGUCACAAUGUUAGUGGAAGAGGGGAAGAUGGAUACUGCUAAUUAGCCUGGCUUGGAUCCCAGGAACACAGAGUGCCACUGGCUCAUUGAGGGUCCAGCAGAGUAUGUCAUAAAAGUAAUAAAGGGAGAAACUGCA